Mus musculus (house mouse) is the source of this 1599-nucleotide long non-coding RNA. RefSeq annotates it as predicted gene, 32360. The record is from RefSeq and is a predicted model, not a curated record. NCBI's taxonomy places the organism in Eukaryota, Metazoa, Chordata, Mammalia, Rodentia, Muridae. The transcript has 4 exons.
UCAUGAAUUAUACAACAAGUUGUGGCGCAGAGGUCAGAGCCUGGGAAGGGUCUGGUGUGGGGUACAGCCAUGGAGAAUUUGUGUGCGUCUCCCUCCACACACCCAUUGCUCUCACCUGCAACCCACCAGACAGUUGACUGGACUCCAUCUCUCUGAAAGACACCCUCAAAGCUUCUAAGCAAAGUUUUCAACGUUCUGGAAAAAAAGAAGAAAAAAAAGACACAAAAUUUCAAGCAAAGGAAGCAGAAAGGGAUGCAAGUUAUGUCUUUGCACCAGGGCUCUAAAGAUGAAAGGUGCCAUCCCAUUAGGAGCUGCUUGUUCUGCAGGCAGGGAGGGGCAGAAGGUACCAACCGUCGUUACAUACUUCUUCACGAUGCUCGCAGAAGUGGGACUGUGCUUGGAAAAUCACACAAAGUUUGACACCUCCCAGGGCGGUUCAUGAUUCGUGACCUUUGGGUGUGUAAUGCCAGAGAGCACACAGCACAGACCCUAGGAUUUGGAAGAGAACAAGCUGCAGUGUGUGAGGUUACAGAUGAAGAAAAAAACGAUCAUCAGGAACGGGGUGCAUUUCCUUGGAAACAUCCUUGUGUGUUUGUUAACGUUUUUUGUUGCUAUGGCAAAAUAGCCAGAGUUGGUUCGAAUGCCCUGGGAGGGGCGGUCCAUCAGGACUGAGAAUCUUGUCGGAAGUGGGAGGGGCGGGGAGGGACAGUGGGUCCUUUGCAGUCUAAGACAGCGCUCAACUAGAUGUUUCUUUUUUUUUUUUUUCUUCCUCUUUAUUCAGUCCUUCUAGGAGAUACUGCCUCCUUUUAAAGUCUUCUCCUCCCUCGGUUAAAAUGAAAAUGCCCCCAGAGAUAUCCAGAGAUAAGGUUCCUUAGCCUUUCAAAGCCAAUCUCUGUUUGAAAUGAAGGUUAAAAACCACACCUUUUGCAUUUUGAUUUUGUUUUUGUCGUUCUGGUUGUUGGUGGUGUUUUUUGUCCUUUUUCUUUUCUUCUGGGGUCUUGGACCUCCACACCCAGCCCCACCUUGCAUUUUGAAAGUUAAAUUUAUUCGAAGUAAUUUAACUUUUAAGAUAACAGUAUCAGGCUUGUUUUCCAGAAUUUUUUUUUUCCAGAUAAAACCUUCUAGUUAAGCGUUGUGUUUACGUUCCAGGGGCAGAGAACCCAGAGGCUUAUCUCAGGGUGAGUGAGCAAACUGCCAAGAGGAAUUCUCACUUCCUGUUCAGGGAUGCAGGCUUUGGGGAAGUCUUGUCUCAAGAGGAGACACUAAAGUUGGUCUUGUCAAGGAAUCCAAGAAAAGAUUGUCUUCCGAGUCUUAGUUCUCCCAGCCUGCACUGCCCACCCUCAAUGUACUGAUAAAACAGGAUUUAAAGGUGGAGAUGAACUGAACAUGACUCAUGCACAGUAAGAAUAAACAAACCCAAAGGUUGAAACGAUAAAAAUAUAUAAUCAGGAGGGGCAUUGCUACUGGGAUUAUAUUUCACAGAAAAAAAGUGUGCUAUUAUUUUUAUACUAAUUUCAAAGGAAAAGAAGAAAGCAGAAGUGCUGUGCACUCGAGUCUUAGUCUCUGUUUCUUUUCUUACCAUAUUUUAAAAGUAAAGGU